Molecule: transfer-messenger RNA, 353 nt
Filed under: Guillardia theta
Lineage: Eukaryota; Cryptophyceae; Pyrenomonadales; Geminigeraceae
Description: VNNIVPFSRKVAIA
Rfam family: transfer-messenger RNA
About the family: Bacterial tmRNA, also known as 10Sa RNA or SsrA, is named for its dual tRNA and mRNA-like properties. Its role is to liberate the mRNA from a stalled ribosome.
Source: RNAcentral
GGGGCUGUUAUUGGUAUCGACAUUUUAGAAAGAGUAGUAUUAUGAUGCAAGUCAAGAUUGAGUAUUUCUUGUUAAUAAAACUCAUUAAAAAUAAAUGUAAAUAAUAUCGUACCUUUUUCUCGUAAGGUCGCUAUCGCUUAAAGAUUAGUUUUAAAUAUUAGAACAAGAUUAAUCUAUACAAAACUUUAUAAGCAAAAAAUUGUGGAAAAAAUUUGAGCUUAAAAAAUACAAUUCCAAAUAAACAAAACUGAAUCUGAAAAUAUGUUUUCUUUGGAUAAUGCACAAAGAUAAACUUGUGAAUGAGUAUACUAUAUGAGCUAAAAUGGACGUGGGUUCAAAUCCCACCAGCUCCA